RNAcentral lists this ribosomal RNA (253 nucleotides) under uncultured bacterium. Its description in RNAcentral is "partial 16S ribosomal RNA". It matches the Rfam family "Bacterial small subunit ribosomal RNA", at positions 524 to 776 of the family's 1533-position model. The record is from RNAcentral.
UACGUAGGUGGCGAGCGUUGUCCGGAUUUACUGGGCGUAAAGAGCGCGCAGGCGGUCGUUCAAGUCGCGUGUGAAAGCCCCGGGCUCAACCUGGGAAUUGCAUUUGAGACUGCGUAGCUAGGGUGCGGAAGAGGGAAGCGGAAUUUCCGGUGUAGCGGUGAAAUGCGUAGAUAUCGGAAGGAACACCAGUGGCGAAAGCGGCUUCCUGGUCCAGCACCGACAUUCAGGCACGAAAGCGUGGGGAGCAAACGGG